RNAcentral lists this ribosomal RNA (253 nucleotides) under uncultured bacterium. RNAcentral describes it as "partial 16S ribosomal RNA". It matches the Rfam family "Bacterial small subunit ribosomal RNA", at positions 524 to 776 of the family's 1533-position model. The record is from RNAcentral.
UACGAAGGGGGCUAGCGUUGUUCGGAAUUACUGGGCGUAAAGCGCACGUAGGCGGCUAUUUAAGUCAGGGGUGAAAUCCCAGAGCUCAACUCUGGAACUGCCUUUGAUACUGGGUAUCUCGAGUAUGGAAGAGGUGAGUGGAAUUCCCGGUGUAGCGGUGAAAUGCGCAGAUAUCGGGAGGAACACCUAUGGCGAAGGCAGCUCGCUGGGACGUUACUGACGCUGAGACGCGAAAGCGUGGGGAGCAAACAGG